AAAUUGAAGAGUUUGAUCAUGGCUCAGAUUGAACGCUGGCGGCAGGCCUAACACAUGCAAGUCGAGCGGAAACGAGUUAUCUGAACCUUCGGGGAACGAUAACGGCGUCGAGCGGCGGACGGUGAGUAAUGCCUAGGAAAUUGCCCUGAUGUGGGGGAUAACCAUUGGAAACGAUGGCUAAUACCGCAUAACGCCUACGGGCCAAAGAGGGGGACCUUCGGGCCUCUCGCGUCAGGAUAUGCCUAGGUGGGAUUAGCUAGUUGGUGAGGUAAGGGCUCACCAAGGCGACGAUCCCUAGCUGGUCUGAGAGGAUGAUCAGCCACACUGGAACUGAGACACGGUCCAGACUCCUACGGGAGGCAGCAGUGGGGAAUAUUGCACAAUGGGCGCAAGCCUGAUGCAGCCAUGCCGCGUGUGUGAAGAAGGCCUUCGGGUUGUAAAGCACUUUCAGUCGUGAGGAAGGUAGUGUAGUUAAUAGCUGCAUUAUUUGACGUUAGCGACAGAAGAAGCACCGGCUAACUCCGUGCCAGCAGCCGCGGUAAUACGGAGGGUGCGAGCGUUAAUCGGAAUUACUGGGCGUAAAGCGCAUGCAGGUGGUUUGUUAAGUCAGAUGUGAAAGCCCGGGGCUCAACCUCGGAAUUGCAUUUGAAACUGGCAGACUAGAGUACUGUAGAGGGGGGUAGAAUUUCAGGUGUAGCGGUGAAAUGCGUAGAGAUCUGAAGGAAUACCGGUGGCGAAGGCGGCCCCCUGGACAGAUACUGACACUCAGAUGCGAAAGCGUGGGAGCAAACAGGAUUAGAUACCCUGGUAGUCCACGCCGUAAACGAUGUCUACUUGGAGGUUGUGGCCUUGAGCCGUGGCUUUCGGAGCUAACGCGUUAAGUAGACCGCCUGGGAGUACGGUCGCAAGAUUAAAACUCAAAUGAAUUGACGGGGGCCCGCACAAGCGGUGGAGCAUGUGGUUUAAUUCGAUGCAACGCGAAGAACCUUACCUACUCUUGACAUCCAGAGAACUUUCCAGAGAUGGAUUGGUGCCUUCGGGAACUCUGAGACAGGUGCUGCAUGGCUGUCGUCAGCUCGUGUUGUGAAAUGUUGGGUUAAGUCCCGCAACGAGCGCAACCCUUAUCCUUGUUUGCCAGCGAGUAAUGUCGGGAACUCCAGGGAGACUGCCGGUGAUAAACCGGAGGAAGGUGGGGACGACGUCAAGUCAUCAUGGCCCUUACGAGUAGGGCUACACACGUGCUACAAUGGCGCAUACAGAGGGCGGCCAACUUGCGAAAGUGAGCGAAUCCCAAAAAGUGCGUCGUAGUCCGGAUCGGAGUCUGCAACUCGACUCCGUGAAGUCGGAAUCGCUAGUAAUCGUGGAUCAGAAUGCCACGGUGAAUACGUUCCCGGGCCUUGUACACACCGCCCGUCACACCAUGGGAGUGGGCUGCAAAAGAAGUAGGUAGUUUAACCUUCGGGAGGACGCUUACCACUUUGUGGUUCAUGACUGGGGUGAAGUCGUAACAAGGUAGCGCUAGGGGAACCUGGCGCUGGAUCACCUCCUUAUACGAUGAU
RNAcentral lists this ribosomal RNA (1559 nucleotides) under Vibrio campbellii. RNAcentral's name for it is "bacterial SSU rRNA". It matches the Rfam family "Bacterial small subunit ribosomal RNA". The record is from RNAcentral. Lineage: Bacteria; Pseudomonadati; Pseudomonadota; Gammaproteobacteria; Vibrionales; Vibrionaceae.